This 68-nucleotide small RNA is filed under the name Mycobacterium parmense. RNAcentral describes it as "ASdes TB sRNA". It matches the Rfam family "ASdes TB sRNA". Lineage: Bacteria; Bacillati; Actinomycetota; Actinomycetes; Mycobacteriales; Mycobacteriaceae. The record is from Rfam by way of RNAcentral.
AGCUCGACAGGGUCGACCGCGCGGGUCACCACCAGGUAAUCACGCAGCGCGGUGCUGUGCCUGGCCUC